GAUGAAGAACGUAGCGAAAUGCGUUACUUGGUGUGAAUUGCAGAAUCCCGUGAACCAUCGAGUCUUUGAACGCAAGUUGCGCCCGAAGCCAUUAGGCCGAGGGCACGCCUGCCUGGGCGUCACACGUCGUUGCCCCCCCAUCUACUCCUUCGGGAUUGCGGGGGGCGGAUGAUGGCCUCCCGUGCGCCUCGUCGCGCGGUUGGCAUAAAUGCCAAGUCCUCGGCGACGCACGCCACGACAAUCGGUGGUUGCGAAACCUCGGUUGCCCGUCGUGUGCGGUCGUCGCGCAUCGAGGGCUCGAAAAAAUUGCCGGGCUCCGGCUCGGCUUUCAACGCGACCCCAGGUCAGGCGGGGUUACCCGCUGAAUUUAAGCAUAUCAAUAAGCGGAGGA
This 391-nucleotide unclassified non-coding RNA is filed under the name soil metagenome. Its description in RNAcentral is "partial contains 5.8S ribosomal RNA, internal transcribed spacer 2, and large subunit ribosomal RNA". The stretch from base 1 to 122 matches the Rfam family "5.8S ribosomal RNA", at positions 35 to 154 of the family's 154-position model. The record is from RNAcentral.